CUGUACGAGUUUGAUCAUGGCUCAGGAUGAACGCUAGCGGCAGGCCUAACACAUGCAAGUCGAGCGGGAUUCGGUAGCUUGCUACCGAUGAGAGCGGCGCACGGGUGCGUAACGCGUAUACAAUCUGCCUCUUACUGCGGGAUAGCCCAGGGAAACUUGGAUUAACACCGCAUAGCAUAGUGUUCCGGCAUCGGGACGUUAUUAAAGGUUACGGUAAGAGAUGAGUAUGCGUCCUAUUAGCUAGUUGGUAAGGUAACGGCUUACCAAGGCGACGAUAGGUAGGGGCCCUGAGAGGGGGAUCCCCCACACUGGUACUGAGACACGGACCAGACUCCUACGGGAGGCAGCAGUGAGGAAUAUUGGACAAUGGGCGCAAGCCUGAUCCAGCCAUGCCGCGUGCAGGAAGACGGCCCUAUGGGUUGUAAACUGCUUUUGUACGGGAAGAAACACCACUACGCGUAGUGGCUUGACGGUACCGUAAGAAUAAGGAUCGGCUAACUCCGUG
Molecule: ribosomal RNA, 505 nt
Filed under: uncultured bacterium
Lineage: Bacteria
Description: bacterial SSU rRNA
Rfam family: Bacterial small subunit ribosomal RNA
Source: RNAcentral